CCUACGGGAGGCAGCAGUGGGGAAUCUUGCGCAAUGGACGAAAGUCUGACGCAGCCACGCCGCGUGAGUGAAGAAGGCCUUCGGGUUGUAAAGCUCUGUCACCUGGGACGAAAACACUGACGGUUAAUAGCCGUCGGAAUUGACGGUACCAGGGGAGGAAGCACCGGCUAACUUCGUGCCAGCAGCCGCGGUAAUACGAAGGGUGCAAGCGUUGCUCGGAAUUAUUGGGCGUAAAGGGUUGGUAGGUGGUCUUGUUUGUCUAAGGUGAAAUCCCAGGGCUUAACCCUGGAAGUGCCUUAGAAACGGCAAGACUAGAGUUCUAGAGGGGUUUGUGGAAUUCCCGGUGUAGCGGUGAAAUGCGUAGAGAUCGGGAGGAACACCAGCGGCGAAGGCGGCAAACUGGAUAGAUACUGACACUCAACAACGAAAGCGUGGGGAGCAAACAGGAUUAGAUACCCUGGUAGUCCACGCUGUAAACGAUGGGUACUAGGCUUUGUGGGAAUAGACCCCUGCAGAGCCGGAGCUAACGCAAUAAGUACCCCGCCUGGGAAGUACGGUCGCAAGACUAAAACUCAAAGGAAAUUGACGG
RNAcentral lists this ribosomal RNA (589 nucleotides) under uncultured bacterium. RNAcentral's name for it is "bacterial SSU rRNA". It matches the Rfam family "Bacterial small subunit ribosomal RNA", at positions 338 to 916 of the family's 1533-position model. The record is from RNAcentral.